ACGGAAGGCAGCAGUGGGGAAUAUUGCACAAUGGGCGAAAGCCUGAUGCAGCGACGCCGCGUGAGCGAAGAAGUAUUUCGGUAUGUAAAGCUCUAUCAGCAGGGAAGAAGAAUGACGGUACCUGACUAAGAAGCACCGGCUAAAUACGUGCCAGCAGCCGCGGUAAUACGUAUGGUGCAAGCGUUAUCCGGAUUUACUGGGUGUAAAGGGAGCGCAGGCGGUACGGCAAGUCUGAUGUGAAAGCCCGGGGCCCAACCCCGGUACUGCAUUGGAAACUGUCGGACUAGAGUGUCGGAGGGGUAAGCGGAAUUCCUAGUGUAGCGGUGAAAUGCGUAGAUAUUAGGAGGAACACCGGUGGCGAAGGCGGCUUACUGGACGAUAACUGACGCUGAGGCUCGAAAGCGUGGGGAGCAAACAGGAUUAGAUACCCUGGUA
This 435-nucleotide ribosomal RNA is filed under the name uncultured Roseburia sp. RNAcentral describes it as "bacterial SSU rRNA". It matches the Rfam family "Bacterial small subunit ribosomal RNA", at positions 341 to 792 of the family's 1533-position model. Lineage: Bacteria; Bacillati; Bacillota; Clostridia; Lachnospirales; Lachnospiraceae. The record is from RNAcentral.